This 231-nucleotide long non-coding RNA is filed under the name Elaeis guineensis (African oil palm). RNAcentral describes it as "long non-coding RNA (EGUI_LNC042312)". Lineage: Eukaryota; Viridiplantae; Streptophyta; Magnoliopsida; Arecales; Arecaceae. The record is from RNAcentral.
CCAGCAUCUUGAUCAAACCAUGAACCAUUAGAUAUGUGUGGUAACCCGGCCCAAUUGAACCCAAAACCAGCCCACAAAGCCCAAACACAAAAAAAAAACAAAAACAAAAGAAAAUAGAGGAGAACCCAAUCGGAGUCUUCUUCCUCCUCUCACCGGCUCCCAAUCGGAGUCGGAAAGAGCCCCCCUCCGGCUCUAUUUAAGGAGGAGAACCCUCCUCUCUCCCUCUCACCA